Molecule: ribosomal RNA, 505 nt
Filed under: uncultured bacterium
Lineage: Bacteria
Description: partial 16S ribosomal RNA
Rfam family: Bacterial small subunit ribosomal RNA
Source: RNAcentral
GACGAACGCUGGCGGCGUGCCUAAUACAUGCAAGUAGAACGCACAGUUUAUACCGUAGCUUGCUACACCAUAGACUGUGAGUUGCGAACGGGUGAGUAACGCGUAGGUAACCUGCCUGGUAGCGGGGGAUAACUAUUGGAAACGAUAGCUAAUACCGCAUAAUAUUAAUUAUUGCAUGAUAAUUAAUUGAAAGGUGCAAUUGCACCACUACCAGAUGGACCUGCGUUGUAUUAGCUAGUAGGUGAGGUAACGGCUCACCUAGGCGACGAUACAUAGCCGACCUGAGAGGGUGAUCGGCCAAACUGGGACUGAGACACGGCCCAGACUCCUACGGGAGGCAGCAGUAGGGAAUCUUCGGCAAUAGACGAAAGUCUGACCGAGCAACGCCGCGUGAGUGAAGAAGGUUUUCGGAUCGUAAAGCUCUGUUGUAAGAGAAGAACGGGUGUGAGAGUGGAAAGUUCACACUGUGACGGUAUCUUACCAGAAAGGGACGGCUAACUACGUG